GGGGGAUAUCGCACAAUGGGGGAAACCCUGAUGCAGCGACGCCGCGUGGAGGAAGAAGGUUUUCGGAUUGUAAACUCCUGUCGUUAGGGACGAUAAUGACGGUACCUAACAAGAAAGCACCGGCUAACUACGUGCCAGCAGCCGCGGUAAAACGUAGGGUGCAAGCGUUGUCCAGAAUUACUGGGUGUAAAGGGAGCGCAGGCGGACCGGCAAGUUGGAAGUGAAAACUAUGGGCUCAACCCAUAAAUUGCUUUCAAAACUGCUGGCCUUGAGUAGUGCAGAGGUAGGUGGAAUUCCCGGUGUAGCGGUGGAAUGCGUAGAUAUCGGGAGGAACACCAGUGGCGAAGGCGACCUACUGGGCACCAACUGACGCUGAGGCUCGAAAGCAUGGGUAGCAAACAGGAUUAGAUACCCUGGUAGUCCAUGCCGUAAACGAUGAUUACUAGGUGUUGGAGGAUUGACCCCUUCAGUGCCGCAGUUAACACAAUAAGUAAUCCACCUGGGGAGUACGACCGCAAGGUUGAAACUCAAAGGAAUUGACGGGGGCCCGCACAAGCAGUGGAGUAUGUGGUUUAAUUCGAAGCAACGCGAAGAACCUUACCAGGUCUUGACAUCCGAUGCAUAGCGCAGAGAUGCGUGAAGUCCUUCGGGACAUCGAGACAGGUGGUGCAUGGUUGUCGUCAGCUCGUGUCGUGAGAUGUUGGGUUAAGUCCCGCAACGAGCGCAACCCUUAUUGCCAGUUACUACGUAAGAGGACUCUGGCGAGACUGCCGUUGACAAAACGGAGGAAGGUGGGGAUGACGUCAAAUCAUCAUGCCCUUUAUGACCUGGGCUACACACGUACUACAAUGGCGUUUAACAAAGAGAAGCAAGACCGCGAGGUGGAGCAAAACUCAAAAACAACGUCUCAGUUCAGAUUGCAGGCUGCAACUCGCCUGCAUGAAGUCGGAAUUGCUAGUAAUCGCGGAUCAGCAUGCCGCGGUGAAUACGUUCCCG
Molecule: ribosomal RNA, 996 nt
Filed under: uncultured organism
Description: bacterial SSU rRNA
Rfam family: Bacterial small subunit ribosomal RNA
Source: RNAcentral